This 1179-nucleotide long non-coding RNA is filed under the name Sus scrofa (pig). Its description in RNAcentral is "lncRNA (ENSSSCG00050054899.1)". The record is from RNAcentral. Lineage: Eukaryota; Metazoa; Chordata; Mammalia; Artiodactyla; Suidae.
AUGAUUGACUUUAUUCCUCAAACUGUUAAGAACUCCCCUUCCAGACCCUUAAGAGACCUGAAGAGGCCACCUCUCUACCCUCUUGGCACUGCUUCACUUGACCGGCCCAACCCUGGCCCCACUCUCCAGCUGAGCCUGGGGUUAACCACAGCGCAGUUGCCCCGUCCCCCCAAAGAUUAUCUCCCUUUCCUCCCACCCAGCCUCGGCACCAUCCAAGGAGCGACACCAGGACUGGACCCAGAAGCCAGAGAUGGGCUGACACAGGAGCACAAAGGCCUGUGCUCCAUGGGGGUGCGUUCAGUUCCACGGACACAGGAAAGACUGGCACCGUGUGUGCCAGAGGCCGUGAGCCGUGCCCUCAGAGACGGUGAAAUCAUAAGUUGUACUGAAAACUGGAGAGGACAAGGACAGCUGAAGACGCCUCCUGAUCUAGUCUGUGUGUCCAUUACCAGCAAUAAAAACUUAAAAUAUCGCCUAAGUCCUGAGUUAGUGAAGAGCAAGGGCCAGGCUGUGUCAGGAGCUGUAACAGCCGCCAGGAAACAACACGUGUUUCCACACCAUCAGCAGAUGGAUGUGCAAGAAAGGACACCGUGCUUACAUGUGUCUUCCAGGAUGAGUGGGUCCCCUUCUCUUCCCAUGAAAGUGCAACUGCUUUCAUGGAAGAUCACAGGGUGUCUCCCCAGCAAUGAGAAACAGCUGUGUUCCCAAUAACACAGACUACAAACCCUAAAGGCAAAGCGGAGGCUCCUUCCUGGAGGUGUCAGCCUGAGACACAGGCUUCAGUGGAUGCAUGUCCACAGGCCUCUAAAUGGGCACAUUCCUUUAAAACCUGCUUUGCUUCAUUUUGCUUCACAUUAUCCCCCCAAAGAGGAUGUGGCCCCAUGUUUGUGAUCCCACCAAAUCUGCCCUAUAUCAGGGCUGUCCAUUCACUUUCUUAAUUUUGAAUAGAAAGGAACUAGGAGAGAAAGAAGGGCUGACACGACAUCAAUCAAGGCUGGUCUGGGAAGCUUUUGGAUGUCACAGAGGUUACCGGAUUGGAUGGGUAAAAAAGAAUAACAAUGCUAAUGAAGGAGACAGGUUUAAUCACAGAUUUUGUAAUUAUUUGUGGGUGUGAGCCCUCACAAUUGAGGGAGUUGUAAAAUAAGCUUUGCAAAAAUUUCUUCAAAAAGUAAUAUAGUG